GUCUAUGGCCAGACCACCCCGAAUGUGCCUGGUCUCGUCUGAUCUUGGAAGCUAAGCAGGGUCGGGCCUGGUUAGUAUUUGGAUGGGAGACAAAGUUAUCUGAUUAGUUUUGGAAA
This 116-nucleotide ribosomal RNA is filed under the name Chinchilla lanigera (long-tailed chinchilla). The record is from RNAcentral. Lineage: Eukaryota; Metazoa; Chordata; Mammalia; Rodentia; Chinchillidae.